GGAGUUUGGAAAGAGGAGUUGAGAGUUGGAUGCAAGAGGUGAAGGACCCUUGCUGAGAGAGAAGGAGAGUGAGAGAGGCCUAGGAACAGAGGCCUGCUUGAAGUCCAUGCUCAGAGGAGAGCUGCAGCAUCCUGGCAGAAUCUUCCAGCAGACAGAGAUACAGAGCUGUUUGCAGCAGAGUCAGCAGUGAAGAGGUUAAAGGCUGAACUGCCCUGAUUGCUGGUGGUAGAGUGGGCACCCUGAAUUCAGCCACACACCAAUAAAAGCUUUUGAUCUCCAGUCCCACUGACAUACUGAAGUUUCCAAUACAAUUCAACCCAUACUGUGGAGUAAGUUACUCAUGGGCCCCAACUGUGUUAUGUGCACCAACUAAAGG
This is a long non-coding RNA of Spea bombifrons (plains spadefoot toad), 376 nucleotides long. RefSeq lists it as uncharacterized. NCBI's taxonomy places the organism in Eukaryota, Metazoa, Chordata, Amphibia, Anura, Pelobatidae. The transcript has 2 exons. The record is from RefSeq and is a predicted model, not a curated record.